Molecule: transfer-messenger RNA, 218 nt
Filed under: Polynucleobacter sp. 24-46-87
Lineage: Bacteria; Pseudomonadati; Pseudomonadota; Betaproteobacteria; Burkholderiales; Burkholderiaceae
Description: partial transfer-messenger RNA
Rfam family: transfer-messenger RNA
About the family: Bacterial tmRNA, also known as 10Sa RNA or SsrA, is named for its dual tRNA and mRNA-like properties.
Source: RNAcentral
GAUUCUCUCUUGGGUCAGCUAGCGCAAGCUAGGUCAGGGUCAUUUACAAGAGAUAAGAUCAUUUCAUGUCACGGGAAAUGGUUCGAAAACUUAGUGAAUCGCCAGCGUGGAACAUGUCAGUCUGUGACUAGCUAGCUAAAUUAAAUGAUAUGACUAAGUAUGUAGAACUUGUUGUAGAGGAUUUGCGGACGCGGGUUCGAUUCCCGCCGACUCCACCA